GGGACCCUGUCUGUUUUGUUCACUGCUGUCCCCCCAAAGCCUGGAAGAGUACCUGGUGCAGAGAAGACACUCAAUAACCUUCCAUUUAGGUAGUUUGGGGUCAUAAAAUUUCACAGAAGAAAGAUGCCUAACAAGACUGGAGCAGAGGACCAAUGACAUGACCAGACAUUGGGGCAGGGGCCCUGCAUGACCCUCAGCUGACCAGGUCACCCCACAAUAAAAGCCACCAUUUACAUAGCGCUUGCUGUGUGGCAGUGACUGUCAAAAGCACUUGAGAUAUGUUAACUCAUUUAAUCUUCACAAUAGCCCUUAUGAGGGUUGUAAAGAGUGGAUGAGAUCAUUCAGGAAAAGAAGCGGUGGGCGCACUGACAGGUACAUGGUAA
Long non-coding RNA from Balaenoptera ricei (Rice's whale), 383 nucleotides. RefSeq lists it as uncharacterized. The record is from RefSeq and is a predicted model, not a curated record. NCBI's taxonomy places the organism in Eukaryota, Metazoa, Chordata, Mammalia, Artiodactyla, Balaenopteridae. The transcript has 3 exons.